RNAcentral lists this long non-coding RNA (2558 nucleotides) under Limulus polyphemus (Atlantic horseshoe crab). RNAcentral describes it as "uncharacterized LOC111084494, transcript variant X1". Lineage: Eukaryota; Metazoa; Arthropoda; Merostomata; Xiphosura; Limulidae. The record is from RNAcentral.
AGCCAAUCAUAACUCAGGAAAGACUUGUCUACCAAAUUAUGUAUGUGCACCCCAGAAAAAUAUGCCCCAAAACCGACAGUAUUGGUCAAGGUGACGAGGCUGCGAUUGUGAGUGAACAGUUGGUCCACUUUCUAAUUACAGCUGUGUAGCUAUUACUGUUUCGUUUCCAUGAAAACCACAGCAGUAGACUUCAAAAUUCACCACCUGCAAAAGUUACCUUGGUUGUGUCACCUUUCUAGUUGGUGCCAGUCUAGACUGUCACUACUAUCUCCAUGGUGAAGAGGAUUUUGGUGACCAGUAAGUUUAUCUCGUGAAGUUGCCAGCCUAACAGUCACGUGGCAUGACAAAAAUGUUGUUAUCCAGGAUAUCCUAAUGAUGAUUGGCUCAGGUAGCUGAAGAGAUGCAACUUUACAGAACUGUCUGGAUCCUAACUUUUUGCCAGAUGACGUAAGUCGUCCAAAGGGGAAAUUUUCCAUUGGUGAAUAUGUGAAUCACUCGUGUGUGACUCGUUAUAGAGUAAAGUCUCUCGUGAUGUCACCGGAGAACAUGUGGUAUAUGUCAUGUUUUACACUAGGACUUAUUCAGUGUAACUACUUUCAUCAGAUGUCGCCAUCUUCCACAAUUUCUGCGCACUGAAGAGGAGGUCACCUUGGAUAUGGCGUCAGUAAGGUCAGAGGACGUCUGUCAUCUUGACCAAAAUAUUAUAUAUUUUCGUCAACAGAGAACAUUCUGAACGUUCUUUUAGAAAGUCUUCUUCUCUGUAAAAUCUGGCACCGCCCUCUCUGAGACUGCACCACUCCCAGAACGCCAAAGGUGACCUGAAAUCAUCUUGAGGAAAGGGCUAAACUGACAGAAGGACGAGCAUACAUUGGCACGUGACCUGCAACUGUUUCCAGCCGCCGAAGAGCAAACGAAAGCACCUGCCAUGUUCAGUUCGUAUUUCAAUUUGUUUAAAUAAGAUCGCAAAAAAAUAUCUGAAAUAUGUAUUUGUUUAAAGUAAACCAUUUUGUCAUUUACGUCAUGCGAUCGAUUCCUUGUGAAUACCUCAACAAACAUUCUCAUGAAAAUAUGAAAGAUUAAGACGAAAAAAAGUUUUUUUAUAUCAAUCAUUAUGAAAUAUUUAAUAAAAAGAAUUAUAUUUUAUAUAGUUUGACGAUACUGAUGUAUUUGGUCACUUCUUUAACCAUAAGUUAAACCACUUUGCUAAUAAAUGAUACUAGUUCGUAAAUAGUGCCAUUAAUGAUGGGGGGGGGGGCGGCAAAAAAUGCGCAACCCUUUCAAUGGAACGACGCGCCAUCUAUACGUAACUGGUUUCACUACAGUUAUAAAGUAGACUUGGCUGUCUGUAAAAACAUUCAACAUGGCGGACAACAUGAUUUGACUGGAUCGUCUAUAUAAAUAAGAAGAUUAGUUAAACGACGUGGAAGAGAGAUUGAAAAAUUCUGACGGAAGUCUUCUACCUGACCUGAUUAAGUGGAGAACCUGAUUGUUAUGAGCCCCCUGAUGUUUUACAGCCAUGAUUUAGUUUCAUUUCCGAUGUAUUGGAAAAGCUAAAAAAGAAGGUGAAGUUAUACUUAUUCUUAUGAAAAACUGGAACCAGAAAAAAUCAAACUUCUAACAAACGAAGAGACAGAGAGAGAGAGAAAGGCAAAAUCUGAAAAGAAAAAUAAAGAAGUUUGCGCAAACCCACUAAGCGACUAUCAGAGUACAGCUGUCCCUAAUUUUCAUCUGAUAGACUAGAGGGAAGGCAACUAGUUAACAGCACCCACCGUCAACUCUUGGAAUACUUUUGUAUGGUGAAAAAUUGGAUUUGACCGUCACUUUCGUAGUGCACCCACAGACACAAAGAGCAGAGCGCGUUCUAGCGGCAACGAGUCACGAACCAUAAAUCUUCGAAUUCAUUGUCCAGGCACUCUACUAGAGCACGCCUGGCCCAUCGUACUAGUUGUAGUGUUUUCUCAGUUGAUACUGUGAGAGAAGCGAGGAAUGUCCUGUGGUUCUUUUUCAUUUAAUUUGUAUUUCUUGAAUAUGUAACUAUUUUUCAGUUAUAAGAUACCUGACUUUCGGGAUGUUUAUUUUGAAAUUGACAGAUGACCUACGAAUUUAUUGGGAACAAUAUUAUGAUAAUUUAUUGAAAAUAUGCAAAUAAUUAUAAAAUUUCAAACCUUUCAAGUGUGUGAUAAUCGACCCAUCACACAUACACGCUAAUAUUGUUUGCAAUUACUCUAUAACAUUUUAGAAAGCAAGUGUUCUAAAUUAAAAACACCCUGGCUAAAUGCGACGUUUAGACAUCAUCAAAACACUACAGUCAGACGCCUGUCGGUCAAAACUAAAACAAGCAAUUAUUACAGACAGUCAAAAAUAUUCAUACUUCAGAAAGAAUAAAACUUUUACUAAGAAGCACUUAUACUCCCGCAUAACCUUAUACCUGAAGAUCACGUAUUUCAGACGAUAUCCUAAAGUAUAAUAUUAAUGAGAACUUCUGAGUGAAAGUAAUGUAUGGGCUUUAAAAAACGAAUAAACCAAAUACGUAUCUAUAAUAUGAGGUGAAUGUGUAU